Molecule: ribosomal RNA, 482 nt
Filed under: uncultured bacterium
Lineage: Bacteria
Description: bacterial SSU rRNA
Rfam family: Bacterial small subunit ribosomal RNA
Source: RNAcentral
GAUGAACGCUAGCGGGAGGCUUAACACAUGCAAGUCGAGGGGCAACACGGGUAGCAAUACCUGGUGGCGACCGGCGCAAGGGUGCGUAACGCGUGAGCAACAUACCCUAUACAGGGGGAUAAUCCAGGGAAACUUGGUCUAAUAUCCCAUAGGAUUUACAGAUGUCAUCAUCUAUAAAUUAAAGCUUCGGUGGUAUAGGAUUGGCUCGCGUGACAUUAGCUAGAUGGUGGGGUAACGGCCUACCAUGGCCAUGAUGUCUAGGGGUUCUGAGAGGAAGACCCCCCACACUGGGACUGAGACACGGCCCAGACUCCUACGGGAGGCAGCAGUGAGGAAUAUUGGACAAUGGAUGGAAAUCUGAUCCAGCCAUGCCGCGUGCAGGAAGACGGCCCUAUGGGUUGUAAACUGCUUUUAAUGGGAGCAAUAAGGUCUACGCGUAGACCGAUGAGAGUACCAUAUGAAUAAGCAUCGGCUAACUCCGU